This 197-nucleotide unclassified non-coding RNA is filed under the name uncultured Tomentella. RNAcentral describes it as "sequence contains ITS1". The record is from RNAcentral. Lineage: Eukaryota; Fungi; Basidiomycota; Agaricomycetes; Thelephorales; Thelephoraceae.
CAGAACCGUUGACACGAGCUGUUGCUGGCCCUCAAAGGGGGCACGUGCACGCUCUGUUACACAUCCACUCACACCUGUGCACCCUCUGUAGUUCUAUGGCCUUGGGGACCUUGUCCCCUUGCUGUGGUCCUACGUCUUUACACACACACCGUAACAAAGUCUCAUGGAAUGUAUGUCGCGUUUAACGCAAUACAAUA